Molecule: transfer RNA, 525 nt
Filed under: uncultured Prochlorococcus sp.
Lineage: Bacteria; Bacillati; Cyanobacteriota; Cyanophyceae; Synechococcales; Prochlorococcaceae
Description: partial 16S-23S ribosomal RNA intergenic spacer
Rfam family: tRNA (bases 213-285)
Source: RNAcentral
CAGGGAGACAACAAAAUGUUUAAUAUUAUAAUUUUGUCACCUUAGGUCGAUCGGUAUCUCACAUCCUUAUACCUACUAAGGAUUUCAUUUCCUAAGUUUUUCUAGGUCACACCCAUUACUUUUCCUGGGCCAUUAGCUCAGGUGGUUAGAGCGCACCCCUGAUAAGGGUGAGGUCCCUGGUUCAAGUCCAGGAUGGCCCAUAUCUCUAUGUUGGGGGUAUAGCUCAGUUGGUAGAGCGCCUGCUUUGCAAGCAGGAUGUCAGCGGUUCGAGUCCGCUUACCUCCACUGAUUACCACCUCUUCCAUAAGCAUAUAGACAGGAAAUGUUUUGAGUCGUAAUCAAAUUCUGAACGAAUCUAGCUUCCUAAUAAUCUUAUUAAGAUGCUGGAAUCACUGAAUUAAAUUCAUUGUUUUCAGAGAACCUUGACAACUGCAUAGAUUAUUUUAAAGACAAUAAGCAUCUUUAAUGAUGCGAUUUAUUAUUGUGCGAAUGCAUUAAAUAACAUUCUAUUAAGCUGAUGCUUCA